AUUGAACGCUGGCGGCAGGCCUAACACAUGCAAGUCGAGCGGGUGAAGGGAGCUUGCUCCUGGAUUCAGCGGCGGACGGGUGAGUAAUGCCUAGGAAUCUGCCUGGUAGUGGGGGAUAACGUCCGGAAACGGGCGCUAAUACCGCAUACGUCCUGAGGGAGAAAGUGGGGGAUCUUCGGACCUCACGCUAUCAGAUGAGCCUAGGUCGGAUUAGCUAGUUGGUGGGGUAAAGGCCUACCAAGGCGACGAUCCGUAACUGGUCUGAGAGGAUGAUCAGUCACACUGGAACUGAGACACGGUCAAGACUCCUAAGGGAGGCAGCAGUGGGGAAUAUUGGACAAUGGGCGAAAGCCUGAUCCAGCCAUGCCGAGUGUGUGAAGAAGGUCUUCGGAUUGUAAAGCACUUUAAGUUGGGAGGAAGGGCAGUAAGUUAAUACCUUGCUGUUUUGACGUUACCAACAGAAUAAGCACCGGCUAACUUCGUG
This 484-nucleotide ribosomal RNA is filed under the name uncultured bacterium. RNAcentral describes it as "partial 16S ribosomal RNA". It matches the Rfam family "Bacterial small subunit ribosomal RNA", at positions 30 to 507 of the family's 1533-position model. The record is from RNAcentral.